CAGUCGCCGCGGGAAUACGGAGGGUGCGAGCGUUAAUCGGAAUUACUGGGCGUAAAGCGUACGCAGGCGGUUUGUUAAGUCAGAUGUGAAAUCCCCGGGCUUAACCCGGGAACUGCAUUUGAAACUGGCAGGCUAGAGUCUCGUAGAGGGGGGUAGAAUUCCAGGUGUAGCGGUGAAAUGCGUAGAGAUCUGGAGGAAUACCGGUGGCGAAGGCGGCCCCCUGGACGAAGACUGACGCUCAGGUACGAAAGCGUGGGGAGCGAACAGGAUUAGAUACCCCGGUAGUCCCUGUCUCUUAUAC
Molecule: ribosomal RNA, 301 nt
Filed under: uncultured bacterium
Lineage: Bacteria
Description: partial 16S ribosomal RNA
Rfam family: Bacterial small subunit ribosomal RNA
Source: RNAcentral